This 809-nucleotide ribosomal RNA is filed under the name uncultured bacterium. Its description in RNAcentral is "bacterial SSU rRNA". It matches the Rfam family "Bacterial small subunit ribosomal RNA", at positions 94 to 898 of the family's 1533-position model. The record is from RNAcentral.
AGCGGCGGACGGGUGAGUAACACGUGGGUAACCUGCCUGUAAGACUGGGAUAACUUCGGGAAACCGGAGCUAAUACCGGAUAAUUUCUUUUCUCGCAUGAGAGAAGAUGGAAAGAUGGUUUCGGCUAUCACUUACAGAUGGACCCGCGGCGCAUUAGCUAGUUGGUGAGGUAACGGCUCACCAAGGCCACGAUGCGUAGCCGACCUGAGAGGGUGAACGGCCACACUGGGACUGAGACACGGCCCAGACUCCUACGGGAGGCAGCAGUGGGGAAUAUUGGACAAUGGGCGCAAGCCUGAUCCAGCAACGCCGCGUGAGGGAUGACGGCCUUCGGGUUGUAAACCUCUUUCAGUACCGACGAAGCGCCGAUGAUGGUGGUGACGGUAGGUACAGAAGAAGCACCGGCCAACUACGUGCCAGCAGCCGCGGUAAUACGUAGGGUGCGAGCGUUGUCCGGAAUUAUUGGGCGUAAAGGGCUCGUAGGCGGUUUGUCGCGUCGGGAGUGAAAACACCGGGCUUAACUCGGUGCUUGCUUUCUAUACGGGCAGACUAGAGGUAUGCAGGGGAGAACGGAAUUCCUGGUGUAGCGGUGAAAUGCGCAGAUAUCAGGAGGAACACCGGUGGCGAAGGCGGUUCUCUGGGCAUUACCUGACGCUGAGGAGCGAAAGUGUGGGGAGCGAACAGGAUUAGAUACCCUGGUAGUCCACACCGUAAACGUUGGGCGCUAGGUGUGGGGCCUAUUCCAUGGGUUCCGUGCCGCAGCUAACGCAUUAAGCGCCCCGCCUGGGGAGUACGGCCGCAAGGCUAAA